RNAcentral lists this long non-coding RNA (1370 nucleotides) under Gossypium barbadense (sea-island cotton). RNAcentral describes it as "long non-coding RNA (GBAR_LNC021935)". Lineage: Eukaryota; Viridiplantae; Streptophyta; Magnoliopsida; Malvales; Malvaceae. The record is from RNAcentral.
UUUGUACAUGCCACAUUACUAAAAGAAAAUAUACAUCACCAAAAUUUGCUGAAGUCGGGUCUGGUUUUGGAUGCUGGUUCAGUACUUGACUUUUACAACCUGCGCACGGAAACAACCGUACGCUGAGUAUUUCAUACUCAGUGGUAUUACUAUAAAUUAAACUAUUUAAUAAUAAAAUUUCAAAUAUUGACCAUAAUCUUAUAAAUCACUUUAAACUAAAUAUACAUAUUCAUAUAUCAUUCCAUAGAUCUUAAAUUUAUAUUUAUAUAUAUAUUUACAUACUAAUUCAAUUUAUAAUUUAACUCAUACAUUCUUUCUCGUAUUUUUCUAUAGUGUCAAACCAACCAAUUUCAUUUUUAAAUUUUCAUUUCAAUUAUUUACCCUAUUAACAAGGCUCGGACUCUGACAGAUACGAGGAUUCCACCCAAACACACCAGAAUAUCCAACCUAAACACACCCAGAAUUAUUUAAAUCCUCCAUAACACACCAAUAAGACAUUAAAUGCCUCUUCGGAUAAACCGAAGCAUAUAAUAAUAUAAUCAUCUUCUCGGCCGAACUACAAAUCUCAUCACCACAUCACAAAUCCAAUGGCAUGCCAUUUGUAUCCAAUCUAGUCCUAUAAGUUAAUAGGGUAUUAUUUUACUUUUCCAAUUUCGAAUUCAUUUCCACAACAAUCUCAAAUACUCAAACAAUUCAAAACAUCUAUUAUUUCAAUAUAGCAUUUAGUAAAUAGUUUAAGUUAUAGUAAUACAAACCCGAAAUACGCGUUUACUCCUCAACAAUCUUUUCUUUCCCUUUGGAUGCCGAUGCUUCGUUUUCCUUGUUAGCUACGAAAAUAAUAAUUAUUUUCACUAUUAAUUACAGAUUAAAAAAAUAAUAUUAAUUAAAUUUUAUUCAAUUCCCACUUAUUCCCAAUUUAAUUAUAACUAAGCUUACUUAUUUUUCUAACUUAAUUCAUACUUCUUUUCUACUUAAUGUAUUGCCAUAUUUAACUCUACUAUUCAAUAUUCAUAAUUAAACCCUAAUUUAAGGAUUUUUAUAACUUAAUCCCAACUAUGUAAAAUUUAUAACUUAGUUUACAAAUCAAUCUUUUUAUCUAUUCUAACUAGAAAUUCUAUCAACUAAACCCCUAAUUUAACAACUUGUUCAAAAUGAAUCAUAUUCAAAAACCUAUGAACUUCCAUAACCUCCACUUGAUUUCAACAAAACUUUGUUUUAAAACUUCUAAAACAUCAAAAUGAAGAGAAAAGGACUAAAUUUAGCUUACCAAUUAAACUUGAAGCUUUAAAAUCUCAAUUUCCCUUUUUCUUUUCUUUCCCUUUUUUCUUCCUCGUCUCUUUCUCUGUUUCUAUUUUGUUCUUCUUUUGUUU